Thalassophryne amazonica is the source of this 423-nucleotide long non-coding RNA. RefSeq lists it as uncharacterized. The record is from RefSeq and is a predicted model, not a curated record. Lineage: Eukaryota; Metazoa; Chordata; Actinopteri; Batrachoidiformes; Batrachoididae. The transcript is spliced from 3 exons.
CAGAGGUGAGGGGUGAGUGGAGGAUGACUGCAGCACUCUCACAGCGAGAGGCCAGAUCCACAGAUGGCACAGUGCCAAUGCUCUGGCCAUACACAAUCACGUUCUCUGGCCGAAUGCCAUACCUCAAUGAUUCAAGGCUUCAACCUGUGACCUUCCAUCUACAAGACAUUCACGCAUAUGCUGCCCUGCUAUUUUAGUGGCUAUUCCUCACACAAGAGAGACUUUGCACACAGCUUCACUGGCAUGAGAGCUAAUCUGCUCCGCUUCAACCAAGCCAUCCACGUAAAAAAGACACACACUGCCAGGCAGGCAAACAUUACAAGGCUACAAUUUAUUCCAUUGCAUUUCAGCUUGAACAGUCUUCACUAAAGCCACAGCCCGCCAUACUCCAUGGUUACACCCCUCCCCCAAACUGUCAUCAAU